Molecule: long non-coding RNA, 201 nt
Filed under: Lathyrus oleraceus (garden pea)
Lineage: Eukaryota; Viridiplantae; Streptophyta; Magnoliopsida; Fabales; Fabaceae
Description: Pisum sativum (pea) long non-coding RNA (PSAT_LNC001124)
Source: RNAcentral
CCAAAAAGAAAAAAAAAGAAACAAAAGAGAAAAAUGCACUUGCCGAGACUUAAGACUCUAACACCUAUAAAAUGCUCGCAAAGAAUUGAGUGGAAAAGAGUCAAAAGAGUGAAAUUAAUACCUAGAGUUUAAGUGAUGCACGAAAAACAAAAGAGAAAGAAAAAUCACACAACAUGAAUGCCGAGUUCUAAACCUUUUGUU